CCCCUGGAGGACUAGUGGUUGGGCCUCGGGGCUCUCACUGCCGCGGCCCGGGUUUGAUUCCCGGUCAGGGAA
Molecule: non-coding RNA, 72 nt
Organism: Pangasius djambal
Lineage: Eukaryota; Metazoa; Chordata; Actinopteri; Siluriformes; Pangasiidae
Source: the annotation of a GenBank genome assembly